CGUGUGGGAAGGCGUGGGGUGCGGACCCCGGCCCGACCUCGCCGUCCCGCCCGCCG
Molecule: microRNA precursor, 56 nt
Organism: Ailuropoda melanoleuca (giant panda)
Lineage: Eukaryota; Metazoa; Chordata; Mammalia; Carnivora; Ursidae
Source: Ensembl